RNAcentral lists this ribosomal RNA (253 nucleotides) under uncultured bacterium. RNAcentral describes it as "partial 16S ribosomal RNA". It matches the Rfam family "Bacterial small subunit ribosomal RNA", at positions 524 to 776 of the family's 1533-position model. The record is from RNAcentral.
UACGUAGGCAGCGAGCGUUGUUCGGAAUUAUUGGGCGUAAAGAGCUCGUAGGCGGUCUGUCGCGUCUGCUGUGAAAACUCGGGGCUUAACCCCGGGCCUGCAGUGGGUACGGGCAGACUAGAGUGCGGUAGGGGAGACUGGAAUUCCUGGUGUAGCGGUGAAAUGCGCAGAUAUCAGGAGGAACACCGGUGGCGAAGGCGGGUCUCUGGGCCGUAACUGACGCUGAGGAGCGAAAGCGUGGGGAGCGAACAGG